GAGCGGUAACAGGCGUAGCAAUACGUGCUGACGAGCGGCGAACGGGUGAGUAAUGCUUCGGAAUCUACCCAGUAGUGGGGAAUAACCAUCCGAAAGGAUGGCUAAUACCGCAUACGUCCUACGGGAGAAAGCGGGGGAUCGUAAGACCUCGCGCUAUCGGAUGAGCCGAAGCCGGAUUAGCUAGUUGGUAGGGUAACGGCCUACCAAGGCGACGAUCCGUAGCUGGUCUGAGAGGACGACCAGCCACACUGGGACUGAGACACGGCCCAGACUCCUACGGGAGGCAGCAGUGGGGAAUAUUGGACAAUGGGGGAAACCCUGAUCCAGCGACGCCGCGUGUGUGAAGAAGGCCUGCGGGUUGUAAAGCACUUUUAGUGGGGAUGAAAAGCCUCGGAAUAACACCCCGGGGUAUUGACCUAAUCCACAGAAAAAGCACCGGCUAACUCUGUGCCAGCAGCCGCGGUAAU
Molecule: ribosomal RNA, 467 nt
Filed under: uncultured bacterium
Lineage: Bacteria
Description: bacterial SSU rRNA
Rfam family: Bacterial small subunit ribosomal RNA
Source: RNAcentral